CAAUAUCCAAGAAGGACACCGCUCCAAAAUCAAAAAUGAGACUGUGGAUGGGCACCUUGGGGACAUUUACUUUGACUGGGAGUUCUGAAUUCCAGUCCACCUGGAUCUCUACUUCUUUGGUGGGAACUUGAAGAUCUUCAUUGUCUUCAGAUAUCUGUGCCAGGAAUGUUCCCAAAGCCACCCCAUGAGGGACUAACGGAAACAGAAAGAAAGGACAGUGAAGGAGAACGUCAUACUUAAGCAUUUGCAGAAUGGGAGAAUUGUCGCAUACGAACUAUCACAUACUCUUAGAGUCUGUUCUCUUCUACCAAACCCGCUGUGCCACCAGGAAAGGGCUAUAUCUUUGUUUUGUGUCACUAUGCAAAAGUCUUUUUCUGAUCUAUAGUGGAAGGUCCUUGUUAAAGACAAGGUAAUUUGGUCUCAGCCUACUGACCUCAUCAUUUCUGAGUAGAGCUAGAUGGAUGACUUGUUCUAUUUGUUUUCCAAACCAGAAAAAUAUGUUAAAAGAACCUUAUUUUUGAUCAAAUGAAAAAACAGGCUUUGACUCGGAAAGAAGUUGAUCAUUUUUUCAUUUUACAUCAACUGAAACAAACCAUUUACAUUGUUGUCAUAUUACUUAAAAGUUUUUGUUCAACCCCUUUUCUUUGGAUUUGGGUCAGAAACCAAAAUAUUGUUGGUCUCCAAAUAUACUUUCAUCAGCUGAAGCAAA
This is a long non-coding RNA of Rhea pennata, 709 nucleotides long. RefSeq lists it as uncharacterized. The transcript has 2 exons. The record is from RefSeq and is a predicted model, not a curated record. NCBI's taxonomy places the organism in Eukaryota, Metazoa, Chordata, Aves, Rheiformes, Rheidae.